Molecule: long non-coding RNA, 915 nt
Filed under: Marmota monax (woodchuck)
Lineage: Eukaryota; Metazoa; Chordata; Mammalia; Rodentia; Sciuridae
Source: RNAcentral
AUUGGUUUGUGGCUGUCUUUUGAAGCCCUUCCUUUCUUGUGAAGGCACAAAAGUAAUGGCAAGAGUCGAAGGCCUCAUCAUCAUUUGGGUUCAUGAAAUGAAACACGUGCUAAUAAGAUGACUGGUGUUAGAAAAUCAGAAGUCUCCCUGGAAAAACACAUUUUUCCAUAAGACACUGACUAUAUCCUACAUACGAUUAAGUAUUUUAUUAAUCUAUUACACAAAGAAAAAAAAUCUCAGUGAAAAAACUUCAGUAUUGCUUAACUCCCCACCCCAAAACAUACUCAUGCAAGUCCACUCUGACCAACCUCCUUCAACCCUCUCCACCAAAAAGAAAAAAUUAGAGAAGUGGAAUGUUCUCAAAUUUCUUAUGUGGUUAACUCAGCUAUCUCAAAUAGUCAAGUCCAAUAAUUUUUAAGUGAUAUUUUAAAAAUAAGUCCAGUCGAGGGUGUUCACCAAGUCCUAUUUUCUGUGGGCUACCCUCAUAAACACUGUUGUGUUUAUUAGACUGUAAACACACUGGCAAAUGUCUGUGUGACUUAAAAUUCAGAUUGUGGCAGCAGUGUAAAUCACUGUGCCUAACAAGUUUUCUUGGCAUGCCACGUUCAGUGUUUUUUAAUGCAGAACUAUUUGAUCUUUGCUCAAAUUGCUUUUCUUUCUGGAUAUAGUUCAGUUUUCUAAAUUUAUCAACACAGAAAGAGUUGCUAAGCUAGAACUGAAGUAUAAUGCAUUAGUCCAAGUGUUAUUUGUAUAGUGAGUAAAUAGCAGAAUGUAUUAAGAGGCUAUUAAGCUUAUCAUCAUCCAUCAUCAUUCAUAGGUUGGAAACUACUCACUAGGAGAAAUACCUCUAGCCCUGUGCUUCAUCUGAUUUAAUACUUCACUGAACUUAACUUUUCCAGGUAGGGUUAACAGAAU